Molecule: ribosomal RNA, 786 nt
Filed under: uncultured bacterium
Lineage: Bacteria
Description: bacterial SSU rRNA
Rfam family: Bacterial small subunit ribosomal RNA
Source: RNAcentral
ACGCUGGCGGCACGCCUAAUACAUGCAAGUCGAACGAAGUAGCAAUACUUAGUGGCAGACGGGUGAGUAACAUGUAGGUAUCUGCCCUUUGGCCUGGAAUAACACGAGGAAACUUGUGCUAAUACCGGAUAAGUCUUUACGGAGAAAGCUUUAUGCACCAUUGGAUGAGCCUGCACUUGAUUAGUUUGUUGGUGGGGUAAUGGCCUACCAAGACGAUGAUCAAUAGCUGAUUUGAGAGGAUGAUCAGCCACAUUGGGACUGAGACACGGCCCAAACUCCUACGGGAGGCAGCAGUAGGGAAUCUUGCACAAUGGAGGAAACUCUGAUGCAGCGAUGCCGCGUGAGUGAAGAAGGCCUUUGGGUUGUAAAGCUCUUUCGUCGGGGAAGAAAAUGACUGUACCCGAAUAAGAAGGUCCGGCUAACUUCGUGCCAGCAGCCGCGGUAAUACGAAGGGACCUAGCGUAGUUCGGAAUUACUGGGCUUAAAGAGUUCGUAGGUGGUUAAAAAAGUUGGUGGUGAAAUCCCAGAGCUUAACUCUGGAACUGCCAUCAAAACUUUUUAGCUAGAGUAUGAUAGAGGAAAGCAGAAUUUCUAGUGUAGAGGUGAAAUUCGUAGAUAUUAGAAAGAAUACCGAUUGCGAAGGCAGCUUUCUGGAUCAUUACUGACACUGAGGAACGAAAGCAUGGGUAGCGAAGAGGAUUAGAUACCCUCGUAGUCCAUGCCGUAAACGAUGUGUGUUAGACGUUGGAAAUUUAUUUUCAGUGUCGCAGCGAAAGCGAUAAACAC